UUUAGCGAAAGAACCCUUCCCCAUCUUGACAUAGUGAGAAUCUUGCCGAGAAGGGGGAGUGCCUUUGGGAAUUCACAUACAGGUGUGGCAUGGCGUUUUUCAGCUCGUGUCUUGAGAUGUUGGGUUAAGUCCCGCAACGAGCGCAACCCUUUUCCUUUUUUGCCAGCGGGUUAAGCCGGGAACUUUAAGGAGACUGCCGGUGACAAACCGGAGGAAGGUGGGGAGGACGUCAAGUCAUCAUGCCCCUUACGACCAGGGCUACACACGUGCUACAAUGGCAGGUACAAAGGGUUGCGACCCAGCGAAGCAAGCUAAUCUCAAAAAGCCAAUCGUAGUCCGGAUGGAGUCUGCAACUCGACUCCAUGAAGUCGGAAUCGCUAGUAAUCGCGGAUCAGAUUGCAAUAUCAUC
Molecule: ribosomal RNA, 409 nt
Filed under: uncultured Actinomycetales bacterium
Lineage: Bacteria; Bacillati; Actinomycetota; Actinomycetes; Actinomycetales
Description: bacterial SSU rRNA
Rfam family: Bacterial small subunit ribosomal RNA
Source: RNAcentral